RNAcentral lists this ribosomal RNA (506 nucleotides) under uncultured bacterium. RNAcentral describes it as "partial 16S ribosomal RNA". It matches the Rfam family "Bacterial small subunit ribosomal RNA", at positions 28 to 523 of the family's 1533-position model. The record is from RNAcentral.
GAUGAACGCUAGCUACAGGCUUAACACAUGCAAGUCGAGGGGUAACGAGAGGAAAGCUUGCUUUCCUUGUCGACGACCGGCGCACGGGUGAGUAACGCGUAUCCAACCUGCCCCCAACUAGGGAAUAACCUUGCGAAAGUAAGACUAAUACCCUAUAAUUUCCUCAGAUGACAUCUGACGAGGAAUAAAGAUUUAUCGGUUGUGGAUGGGGAUGCGUCUGAUUAGCUUGUUGGCGGGGUAACGGCCCACCAAGGCAACGAUCAGUAGGGGUUCUUAGAGGAAGGUCCCCCACAUUGGAACUGAGACACGGUCCAAACUCCGACGGGAGGCAGCAGUGAGGAAUAUUGGUCAAUGGGCGGAAGCCUGAACCAGCCGAGUAGCGUGCAGGAUGACGGCCCUAUGGGUUGUAAACUGCUUUUAUACAGGAAUAAAGUUAGCCACGUGUGGUUAUUUGUAGGUACUGUAUGAAUAAGGACCGGCUAAUUCCGUGCCAGCCGCCGCCGUAA